Molecule: ribosomal RNA, 580 nt
Filed under: uncultured rumen bacterium
Lineage: Bacteria
Description: bacterial SSU rRNA
Rfam family: Bacterial small subunit ribosomal RNA
Source: RNAcentral
UUCUGUGUUGAAAGAUUAAUCGCUACCGGAUUGGCUCGCGUGCCAUUAGCUAGUUGGCGGGGUAACGGCCCACCAAGGCGACGAUGGCUAGGGGUUCUGAGAGGAAGGUCCCCCACAUUGGAACUGAGACACGGUCCAGACUCCUACGGGAGGCAGCAGUGAGGAAUAUUGGUCAAUGGCCGAGAGGCUGAACCAGCCAUGCCGCGUGCGGGAGGACGGCCCUAUGGGUUGUAAACCGCUUUUGUCAGGGGGCAAUAAGGUCCACGUGUGGACUGAUGAGAGUACCUGGCGAAUAAGCAUCGGCUAACUCCGUGCCAGCAGCCGCGGUAAUACGGAGGAUGCAAGCGUUAUCCGGAUUUAUUGGGUUUAAAGGGUGCGUAGGCGGGCUUUUAAGCGUGAGGUGAAAUGCCUGGGCUCAACCUGGGAACUGCCUCGCGAACUGGAGGCCUUGAAUGUCCGUGCCGUGGGAGGAAUGUGUGGUGUAGCGGUGAAAUGCAUAGAGAUCACACAGAACACCGAUUGCGAAGGCAUCUCACGAACGGAUGAUUGACGCUGAGGCACGAAAGCGUGGGGAUCAAAC